Molecule: long non-coding RNA, 1751 nt
Organism: Astatotilapia calliptera (eastern happy)
Lineage: Eukaryota; Metazoa; Chordata; Actinopteri; Cichliformes; Cichlidae
Source: Ensembl
CCAUCACCACACCUCCACCCACCAGCUCACAUUCACUCACUGCCACCAAAUCUCCAUCAAUAACUGCUCAAGGCAUUACAUCCACACCUCCACCUACAUUCACCUCUCCUCCUGGUUCCACCUCCAACACUCUUCCUCCAUCACGCUCUCAUCCUCUUCUCUCUAUGAUGUUGGUCUCCUCUGUUGGAUCAUCCUGUGUUGUGGUUCUACUGGUGUUACUGGUUCUGCUGGUGAGACGAUGUGCUCACAGGAAACCUGAAGCAGAUCAAGAAGAAGCUGGAGAAGAUGACAUCAUCACUUAUGUCAUGUACAGUUACAUUCAAUUAUCAGAUCCUCAACAACAGCCAAUCAGAAAAAGCAAAGAGACUGAUACAACUGUGGUCUACCCAGCAGUGGGCUCUGACGAUGUCAGUAAUGGACAAACAACCAUCAGGACAAGAAAGCUCAGGUACAGCUGGGCUGUUCACCCUGUUUACCGUCAUUAUGCUAGGCUAAGCUAAGAAAAGUUUGAAUAAAGUAAUCCAUGAGAACCAAAAGUGCAGGCUGCAGAUUGCUCUAAACAUAUAACGAUUUUUCUACUCUUGGGUUUGUAUGAUAUCAUCGAUACCUAAUAUGGUCUCAGUGACAUAUGCUCCAGCCACCUGUUAUUUCAACCUUUUAUUAGUGAUUGGCAGCAAGGUAGAAAGCAUGGUAGAAAGUUGCCUUAAAGGGAGAGGAGCUAAUACAGAUUGUUUUAGACAGGAUGAACUAAGGGGCUCCAACAAAGCUCAGUGUAAGCUAAUGAAGUAUUACCCUGAACUGUGAAUCAUGCAGAGGUACUCUAGUCAAGUCCAAGAAUAAAAAUAAAGAGCUGGAAAUGAACACAGAACACAAAUCUUCACAAUCUGAUUCAACAAAAAUAAACUUGUGCAGUGAAAACACAAGUUAUAGUGCAUGAACUUCAACAGUGUAGGGUUGCUUCAAAUACAGGAAAUGGUGCAACAUAUAAUUGUGACUCUCCUUAUAACCCUGCAGGUACCUCAGGCAGGCAGCUGACGUUGACGUGCAAUAGAAUAACACCGACAAUAGUGCAGGGUCUAUUUUUGAUUGAACCUGCAAGAAACAGUAGAUUUUUUUUUGUUUCUCUAAAACUGCACAAAACAGUUCACCUACAAAGUAAAACCUCUGAGCUUGAGAGAAAAAAACAGAGCACUGUUUCUGUACCCAGAGAGCAAAAUGUUACUAGUCUUCAGUAGGAUACGGUCCAUAAAUGUUUCACUAGGACUUUGAGAUAAAUUGAAACAUAUUAGCAAGAUGUCUGACAGUCCAGUUGACUACAACUGAAUAACUACAGAACAUCUGUCAUUACCGCUGGUUAUCAGUAGACCAUCCAGGUAUAUAUUGUGCUAGAUGUAUCUAUACUUACUCUUGCUAUAGUGAGAACACACGUAUGCACUCAGUAUUACAUCAUAAACAAACCACAUCUCCCUCUGCAUGAGUCUGUGAGGGUGCUGAGCAGCUCUUUCAGUCAAAGACUGAACCUCACUGACAAAGUAAAACAGGAAUGAAGAUCGACACAAACAACCAUCAGAAACAGCAGCAUAAAGACAUGAAACACUGAGAGGUGAGGCAGAGAAACUACAAACGGAACACAGAGGGAACUAAUGACAAACAAAAAGUAAGAACUGAAGCUGAGAGAAAGAAACACUAAACCACACUAGAAGAAAUCGUGUGAUCAAAGUUAAAGGUCAGCACAGAUCUGUGGGCUCCAG